GGAAAGUAGAAAAAACAACAAACGAAAAGGAAAACCUUUAAAGCUAGUUUAGGCCUCUCUCUUUCAUGCCACACCGCUAUCAAGUGUUCACUUCAAAUCUUCUUUGGCCAUAGAACUGACUGGCUGUCCUGGGCUGCAUACAGAACUUCUUCACGUGUGUCUGACUUUUAUGAGGUGGGGUUAGUCAGAGAUGGGCGCAUGCGUGACUGAGUCUGUGUGUGUGUGUGGUUAUGCGUGUGUUGGAGAGAAUGUGGUGUGAGCAACCAUGUGUCUGACCAAUCUAUAUGUGUUGUAAAAUGAAUCUGUGUGUGUGUAUAUGCGUGAGUGUGUAUGUGUGAGUGUGUGAGUGUAUAUGUGUGCGUGUGUGAGUGUGUGUGAGUGUGUGUGUAUGUGUGUGUGUGUAUGUGUGAGUGUGUAUGUAUGAGUGUAUAUGUGUGAGUGUGUAUAUGUGUGAGUGUGUAUAUGUGUACACAUCUGUGUUCCCCGGGGACGGCUCUAAAAAUACUCUGCUCCUCAAGCCUUGUGGUGUCUGUCUGCUCUCCAUCGUUGUCCCUGCAGCCCUCCUCCUCUCCUCUGCUCCUCAAGCCUUGUGGUGUCUGUCUGCUCUCCAUCGUUGUCCCUGCAGCCCUCCUCCUCUCCUCUGCUCCUCAAGCCUUGUGGUGUCUGUCUGCUCUCCAUCGUUGUCCCUGCAGCCCUCCUCCUCUCCUCUGCUCCUCAAGCCUUGUGGUGUCUGUCUGCUCUCCAUCGUUGUCCCUGCAGCCCUCCUCCUCUCCUCUGCUCCUCAAGCCUUGUGGUGUCUGUCUGCUCUCCAUCGUUGUCCCUGCAGCCCUCCUCCUCUCCUCUGCUCCUCAGCUCCCAUCCCGCCAUCCCUCAAUUACACCCCCUCACAAACACUGUGGCCUCUCUCUCACAAACGCACACACUACACCCAGCUGCGUCCCUGCUCCACUUCCUCUGAGGAUGGCCUCCAGUCUGGCAGACCACAGCCCAGAAAGAACGAGUUGGAGAGAAAGGGAGAGCAGGAAAAGAGGGAGGAAGAGGGGUAGAGAGAACAGGAGAAAGGGAGAGCAGGAAAAGAGGGAGGAAGAGGGGUAGAGAGAACGGGAGAAAGUGAGAGCAGGAAAUAGGUGGAGAUGGAAUCAGGGCCAAUGUUCUGUGAAUAAUAGGUGAGGAGAUGGAAUCAGGGACAAUAUCCCAUGAAUAAUAGUUGAGGAGAUGGAAUCAGGGACAAUAUUCUGUGAAUAAUAGGUGAGGAGAUGGAAUCAGGGACAAUAUUCUGUGAAUAAUAGGUGAGGAGAUGGAAUCAGGGACAAUAUUCUGUGAAAGAAAGGUGAGGAGAUGGAAUCAGGAAUAAUAUUCUGCGAACACUAGGUGAGGAGAUGGAAUCAGGGACAAUGUUCUGUGAAUAAUAGGUGGAAAUGGAAUCAGGGACAAUGUUCUGUGAAAAAUAGGUGAGGAGAUGGAAUCAGGGAGAAUUUGCCAUGAAUAAUCAGACUUCUAUCAUUAGCAUUCCCAGUUACAGGGAGGCUUUGCAACUGACCAAGACAUAGUAACUAACACACCAAGACAUAGUAACCAAGACAUAGUAACUAACACACCCAGACAUAGUAACUAACACACCAAGACAUAGCAACCAAGACGUAGUAACUAACACACCAAGACGUAGUAACCAAGACAUAGCAACCAAGACGUAGUAACCAACACACAAAGGCAUAGUAACCAACACACCAAGACAUGGUAACCAACACACCAAGACAUAAUAAUCAACACACCAAGACAUAGCAACCAAGACGUAGUAACCAACACACCAAGACGUAGUAACCAAGACAUGGUAACCAACACACCAAGACAUGGUAAACAACACACCAAGUCAUAGUAACCAACACACCAAGACGUAGUAACCAACACACCAAGACGUAGUCACCAACACACCAAGACAUAGUAACCAACACACCAAGACGUAGUCACCAACACACCAAGACGUAGUCACCAAC
This is a long non-coding RNA of Oncorhynchus tshawytscha (Chinook salmon), 1994 nucleotides long. The record is from Ensembl. Lineage: Eukaryota; Metazoa; Chordata; Actinopteri; Salmoniformes; Salmonidae.